UAAGGAAUAUUGGUCAAUGGACGCAAGUCUGAACCAGCCAUGCCGCGUGAAGGAUGAAGGUCCUCUGGAUUGUAAACUUCUUUUAUCUGGGACGAAAACGGGAUUUUUAUCUCAAUUGACGGUACCAGAGGAAUAAGCACCGGCUAACUCCGUGCCAGCAGCCGCGGUAAUACGGAGGGUGCGAGCGUUAUCCGGAUUUACUGGGUUUAAAGGGUGCGUAGGUGGGCUUAUAAGUCAGUGGUGAAAUCUCCGAGCUUAACUUGGAAACUGCCGUUGAUACUAUAGGUCUUGAACUAUCUGGAGGUAAGCGGAAUAUGUCAUGUAGCGGUGAAAUGCUUAGAUAUGACAUAGCACACCAAUUGCGAAGGCAGCUUACUACAUAUAAAUUGACGCUGAGGCACGAAAGCGUGGGGAUCAAACA
Molecule: ribosomal RNA, 421 nt
Filed under: uncultured bacterium
Lineage: Bacteria
Description: bacterial SSU rRNA
Rfam family: Bacterial small subunit ribosomal RNA
Source: RNAcentral